Long non-coding RNA from Xiphophorus couchianus (Monterrey platyfish), 1623 nucleotides. RefSeq lists it as uncharacterized. The transcript is spliced from 3 exons. Lineage: Eukaryota; Metazoa; Chordata; Actinopteri; Cyprinodontiformes; Poeciliidae. The record is from RefSeq and is a predicted model, not a curated record.
AAUGUUUGAGCUCUGUUGGAGGAAGCCGAAACGUGAAGGAACCCUGCGCAGAAUCUCAACGUUGCAAAGUCUCACACUCAGGGCAGGAUAGCUAAUCUUCUUACUAAUCACAAGGCUGGACUGUUGGAACAGAACAAAGUUCACACUGACAACAGAGGGAGAGUGGCGGGGAGUCAAGAACAGCGGCAGAUUUGAUCAAAUAGCAAAAGCAGAGGAAAAGGUUAGGCCUCAGGGCAAGAAUGUCUUUUUAGUUGUUGUUGUUUUUUUUUUUUGUGCAAAAUAAAUAAAUAAAUUGCUGUCACACUCUGGUAGAGGUUGGACCUGGCGACAUGUACUAUAUCCACACACUGAAGGAUCCUGAAAACUAACAAGCAUGGAGGUGCUGAGUGGCCCCUGGGCUGAUCUGGCCCUUUUCCUGCAACAGGCUGCCACACACAGAGACACGGACAGCUUUCUUCCUCUCUGGCUGUUCGGAUUGUUGCUGUUCCUGUCAGUCUGUCUGCUGCUGCUGCAACUAAUCGUCUACUUCAGCUGGAAACUCAGACAGGCUGAGGGGGAUCUGUCCAAGUUUGAGCAGGACCGAAGUUCCAUACACAGGCAGAGGAACAAAAGUGCCAGUCAGAGGAGAAGUUUUGUAUCACAUUCCUAUUCCUGACAGGAAUCUCUCAACAGUGACGGACAAAUUUGACUUAUGUACAUAUAAUAUCUGAACACUACUCAGUGUGGAAAUUGUGGAUACAUCUCCAAAUGUGUACUAACUCUUUUGCAGCGUUUUUUAAAAAAUUGGAUACUGUAAUGUUCAUAUUAUGUAUGAUACUGAUCUUCUACACAGUUCUCAGCUUAUGUACGACAGUUUGCAUUAUUUAGGUUUUAAUAUAAAUAAAAUAAGUGCCUGGGGAAAAAAAAAAAAAAAAGACGACUGGAAGUGUUUCAGAGUAUAACAAUUGUUUAUUUGAACAGUGUUACACAGGGGCGAGGAGUGGCUGCGUGUGAGGAGACAACACGAUUAUGCAGCUAGACUAAACAACCUACCAGUGAUGUGUUGGUAGCAGGAAGCAAAGAGGUGGCUAGUUAAUUUCUUCAAAAUGUUCGUCUUCAUAAACGUGUUAAGAUUUAUUUCUUGUUAGAUGAGAUACAAAAAAAAUGUGCCGUUAUUGUGGGGAAUAAAGCCUGAGAAUACAAUUUCUCCAAUAACAAUCUGAUUAUAAAGACAUUUCAGUUAAAAUCCAUGACAAAUUUAAAAUCAGCUGGUAGUAAUGAUCACCAGCUUCGUAAUCUGAAUAAAAGAUUAAAAUUCAAAUCUUUUUUUUUUGUUAUUAAAGCCACAAACAUUUUUGGAAAAGUCAACCUCGCCUCCCCCUAAACCUCCUGCGGUGGGUUCAAAGAGAAAAGCCCCGAACCAGAAGCAGAGAAAAGGUGGCAAAACAAGUUGAUCUGUAGUGGUUGUUCUUCACCAACAAAAUACACAGCGACAAUAUUACAAAUAAGCAGGAAGGUGGAGCGACAGACCCCACCCUCCCAACUACUAGACCAGUUUCACAGAGAAAAGACGAACCAUGAGAAGACUCUAUAGAUUCAGCUGAUGUGGCAUUACAGAUUUAUUUAAUGAGAUUUUCCUAUGUG